GCGACCUCCUCCUAGAUUGAAUUCGUCUAAUUGAAAUGCCAGGUCAGUCUCGUAUAUCUCAAACAAUGUUGCGAUUUUUCGUUUGUUAUAUUUUCUACAACACGAGGAAGCAGAUACUGCGCUAAGAAGCGAUUUUCUGAUGAUAUCUGACCCGACUCAAGUUCCAUUAACAUGUGGUCUAUGAACGCAACAUAUAAUAAGACUUUCCAAUACUGCUU
RNAcentral lists this long non-coding RNA (218 nucleotides) under Mytilus galloprovincialis (Mediterranean mussel). The record is from RNAcentral. Lineage: Eukaryota; Metazoa; Mollusca; Bivalvia; Mytilida; Mytilidae.